UGACUAUUCUGGGGAGUUUACAUAAGUGCCUGGAAACAACAUUUGCUGCUGGGGAGGAGAACCAAGAAUCUGGGGUUUGUACUAAUCCAAAUCAGAUUAAAUUGAUUCAGCUGACUUCCUACCUAUAUGUGACACAUGGACUAACCUUCUGGAGAGAUUCCCAUCAGCCCUGGGAACAAAUGCUCUACUGUGGCCUAAGCAUGGGAAAGGAGGAUGAAGACAGAUGGAGGAGAGUAUUAUAUUGUCACACACAUUACAAUGCUUUUUAAAAAAUCAGUAGACUCUCAAAAGCUCGAAGCCUGAUUCCACCGUUGACAUCCACCAAAGAACCUGUAAUUGUGCCUGUAGAACAGUGAAGUUCAAAACCCCAAAGGGCCUGGCCCCAUCUGAAGGCAGCCUUUCUGCCUCCCUCCCAGUGGGUAGCUUGUGGGAUCUUAGUUCCCGGACCAGGGAUUGAACCCAGGCCCCCUGCCGUGGAAGCAUGGAGUCCUAACCACCACGCCGCCACGGAAUUCCCUGACAGAUGGCUUCUGA
This is a long non-coding RNA of Hippopotamus amphibius kiboko, 534 nucleotides long. RefSeq lists it as uncharacterized. The record is from RefSeq and is a predicted model, not a curated record. NCBI's taxonomy places the organism in Eukaryota, Metazoa, Chordata, Mammalia, Artiodactyla, Hippopotamidae. The transcript is spliced from 3 exons.